Molecule: long non-coding RNA, 1003 nt
Organism: Pleuronectes platessa (European plaice)
Lineage: Eukaryota; Metazoa; Chordata; Actinopteri; Pleuronectiformes; Pleuronectidae
Exons: 4
Source: RefSeq, a predicted model, not a curated record
UGGCUGUCGUAAAAACCCUAUUUGUAAACAACCAGCCCUUUAACUCGGGGCUGCGUCAUAAACACGGCGCGCUUGGAAGACCACGAUGUCAUCUUCCUUCUGUCAGGAGGAUCCAAGUGAAGCUACAGGAGUUUCAUUAACGUCAACAACUUGGACCAAACAGUUUGUUUUGCUUGAUGAAGAGCAGGAAGGGCAGCCUGGAGAGAAAGAGAAGCCGGGUUGAGCCCACUACCAUCAUCCACGUACCACGAGGAAGAUGAGGGAGAGAAAUGAUCCUACCAUUAAAGAGACUGUGAAAAGAACGUUGAGAACAUCACCACUCUACAGGAAGACACAGUCCAGUAAUGGGUGUCAGAAGUUCAGUAGUGAACGACAGAAACAAACAAUCCAAAUUACCUGCAGAAAGCCCUUGAUGGACGCUUCAGCUGCAUCGUCAGACUGGCCAGACAGCAAGAUGCCAACUUUAAUGCCAAUUUAUUUGUGUAACAUUCUGUGACCAAAUGUAUAGAUAACUUUUUGUAGAUUGUAAAAAUAGAUAACCCAUUUAUUACAAAAAAACUACACUAGAAUUAUCGCACUGCGUUGUAUGACUCCGCUAACCAGAGCAGUGUCCGUCUACAUAUUUCUACAUAUUUUCUCUCAUAUAAAUGACACUGUAUCUCUUGACAACUGAAACCAUAAGAUGAGGUCAGUGUGGCCUUGACCUUUUUACUUUAAGACAAAUACAAAGUUAGACAAUCCGAAAACAUGCAGUUAUGCCUCCGGCGACUCGCUAUUGCAGAGGCAUUAAAACCGUAGUGUAGUAGAUUGGAUUUUAUUGGUGUUACAUUGGACAUCUUGUAUGGGUACACCAAAAAAUAUAUUUGGUUUCACAUUCUAGAUGGCAAUAAGCAGAGUCAUCAACUCAGGAAAAAUAUUUCUGUAGAAAAGAAAGCCUUGUAUGUGUGUAUGUAUACAUACACACAAACGCACAAUUGAGACGUUUUUGUCUUUUAUCAUAUAU